GUUGGGGUGGCCGAAAAUAAGCGCUAAAUUGUAAAUUUAGAAAUGAAAUUUAUUCUCCCAUCA
Molecule: transfer RNA, 63 nt
Filed under: Niptus hololeucus
Lineage: Eukaryota; Metazoa; Arthropoda; Insecta; Coleoptera; Ptinidae
Description: tRNA-Tyr
Source: RNAcentral